UACGGAGGAUCCGAGCGUUAUCCGGAUUUAUUGGGUUUAAAGGGUACUCAGGCGGGCCAUUAAGUCGGCGGUGAAAUUUUGCGGCUCAACCGUAAAAGUGCCUUCGAUACUGGUGGUCUUGAGUGUGGAUGAGGUAGGCGGAAUUUGUGGUGUAGCGGUGAAAUGCAUAGAUAUCACGAGGAACUCCGAUUGCGCAGGCAGCUUACUAAACUACUACUGACGCUCAGGCACGAAGGCGUGGGGAUCAAACAGGAUUAGAUACCCCUGUAGUCCCU
Molecule: ribosomal RNA, 275 nt
Filed under: uncultured prokaryote
Description: partial 16S ribosomal RNA
Rfam family: Bacterial small subunit ribosomal RNA
Source: RNAcentral